This 92-nucleotide transfer RNA is filed under the name Stieleria marina. RNAcentral describes it as "Planctomycetes bacterium K23_9 tRNA-Ser". Lineage: Bacteria; Pseudomonadati; Planctomycetota; Planctomycetia; Pirellulales; Pirellulaceae. The record is from RNAcentral.
GAUUUUGGUGGGUUAGUUUUUUCACCGUCUUUUUACUGCAAGGAACGAUCAUGUGGAUCGUUUCGCUCCCGGUGCAAGUCGGGCAAAGAUCU